This 330-nucleotide ribosomal RNA is filed under the name uncultured bacterium. Its description in RNAcentral is "bacterial SSU rRNA". It matches the Rfam family "Bacterial small subunit ribosomal RNA", at positions 568 to 898 of the family's 1533-position model. The record is from RNAcentral.
UCCGUAGGCGGUGUAGCAAGUCGAUAGUGAAAUCUCUGGGCUUAACUCAGAGGCUGCUAACGAAACUGCUAUGCUAGGGUGUGAGAGAGGCGAGUGGAAUUACGGGCGUAGCGGUGAAAUGCGUAGAUAUCCGUAGGAACAUCCGAGGCGAAGGCGGCUCGCUGGAUCACAACUGACGCUGAGGGACGAAAGCUAGGGGAGCAAACAGGAUUAGAUACCCUGGUAGUCCUAGCCCUAAACCAUCAGGACUUGGGGUUUGCCCUGUACGGGGCAAGUCCCGUAGCUAACGCGUUAAGUCCUGCGCCUGGGGAGUACGGUCGCAAGGCUGAA